AACCUCCGCAAUGUGAGAAAUCGCGACGGGGGGAUCCCAAGUGCCAUUCUUAACGGGAUGGCUUUUCAUUAGUGUAAAGAGCUUUUGGAAUAAGGGCUGGGCAAGACCGGUGCCAGCCGCCGCGGUAACACCGGCAGCUCUAGUGGUAGCAGUUUUUAUUGGGCCUAAAGCGUCCGUAGCCGGUUUAAUAAGUCUCUGGUGAAAUCCUGUAGCUUAACUGUGGGAAUUGCUGGAGAUACUAUUAGACUUGAGACCGGGAGAGGUUAGAGGUACUCCCAGGGUAGAGGUGAAAUUCUGUAAUCCUGGGAGGACCGCCUGUUGCGAAGGCGUCUAACUGGAACGGUUCUGACGGUGAGGGACGAAAGUUAGGGGCGCGAACCGGAUUAGAUACCCGGGUAGUCCUAACUGUAAACGAUGCGGACUUGGUGUUGGGGUGGCUUUGAGCUGCUCCAGUGCCGAAGGGAAGCUGUUAAGUCCGCCGCCUGGGGAGUACGGUCGCAAGACUGAAACUUAAAGGAAUU
This 521-nucleotide ribosomal RNA is filed under the name uncultured bacterium. RNAcentral describes it as "bacterial SSU rRNA". It matches the Rfam family "Archaeal small subunit ribosomal RNA", at positions 345 to 866 of the family's 1478-position model. The record is from RNAcentral.